Molecule: transfer RNA, 76 nt
Filed under: Geobacillus zalihae
Lineage: Bacteria; Bacillati; Bacillota; Bacilli; Caryophanales; Anoxybacillaceae
Description: tRNA-Asp
Rfam family: tRNA (bases 6-67)
About the family: Transfer RNA (tRNA) molecules are approximately 80 nucleotides in length.
Source: RNAcentral
AACCACGUAGUGUAGUGGUUAACAUGCCUGCCUGUCACGCAGGAGAUCGCGGGUUCGAGUCCCGUCGGGACCGCCA